GACGAACGCUGGUGGCGUGCUUAACACAUGCAAGUCGAACGGAAAGGCCCUGCUUUUGUGGGGUGCUCGAGUGGCGAACGGGUGAGUAACACGUGAGUAACCUGCCCUUGACUUUGGGAUAACUUCAGGAAACUGGGGCUAAUACCGGAUAGGAGCUCCUGCUGCAUGGUGGGGGUUGGAAAGUUUCGGCGGUUGGGGAUGGACUCGCGGCUUAUCAGCUUGUUUGUGGGGUAGUGGCUUACCAAGGCUUUGACGGGUAGCCGGCCUGAGAGGGUGACCGGCCACAUUGGGACUGAGAUACGGCCCAGACUCGUACGGGAGGCAGCAGUGGGGAAUAUUGCACAAUGGGCGGAAGCCUGAUGCAGCAACGCCGCGUUCGGGAUGACGGCCUUCGGGUUGUAAACCGCUUUCGCCUGUGACGAAGCGUGAGUGACGGUAAUGGGUAAAGAAGCACCGGCUAACUACGUG
Molecule: ribosomal RNA, 468 nt
Filed under: uncultured bacterium
Lineage: Bacteria
Description: partial 16S ribosomal RNA
Rfam family: Bacterial small subunit ribosomal RNA
Source: RNAcentral